AAUUGACCUCGGAUCAGGUAGGGAUACCCGCUGAACUUAAGCAUAUCAAUAAGCGGAGGAAAAGAAACCAACCGGGAUUGCCUCAGUAACGGCGAGUGAAGCGGCAACAGCUCAAAUUUGAAAUCUGACCCCGUCGGGGUUCGAGUUGUAAUUUGUAGAGGAUGUUUCGGGCGCGAAGCCGGUCUAAGUCCCUUGGAACGGGGCGUCGUAGAGGGUGAGAAUCCCGUAUGUGACCGGCGAUCAAGCCUCUGUGAAACUCCUUCGACGAGUCGAGUUGUUUGGGAAUGCAGCUCAAAAUGGGUGGUAAAUUUCAUCUAAAGCUAAAUAUUGGCCAGAGACCGAUAGCGCACAAGUAGAGUGAUCGAAAGAUGAAAAGCACUUUGGAAAGAGAGUCAAAAAGUACGUGAAAUUGUUGAAAGGGAAGCGCUUGCAACCAGACCUGCCCGCGGGCGAUCAGCCGUCCCUUCCGGGGGCGGUGCACGCGCCCGCGAUCAGGCCAGCAUCGGUUCGGGCGGCCGGAUAAAGGCCCGGGGAACGUAGCUCCUCUCGGGGAGUGUUAUAGCCCCGGGUGCAAUGCGACCCGCCUGGACCGAGGACCGCGCUUCGGCUAGGAUGCUGGCGUAAUGGUUGUAAGCGGCCCGUCUUGAAACACGGACCAAGGAGUCUAACAUCCAUGCGAGUGUUUGGGUGUCAAACCCGUGCGCGUAAUGAAAGUGAACGGAGGUAGGAACCCAUAAGGGCGCACUAUCGACCGAUCCUGAUGUCUUCGGAUGGAUUUGAGUACGAGCAUGGCUGUUGGGACCCGAAAGAUGGUGAACUAUGCCUGAAUAGGGUGAAGCCAGAGGAAACUCUGGUGGAGGCUCGCAGCGGUUCUGACGUGCAAAUCGAUCGUCAAAUUUGGGUAUAGGGGCGAAAGUAAGUUACGAAUCUUCCAUUCUUCAGCCUGGCUGCCCGGAAGGAGUGGGGUUAGUGACGGACGAAGGGGUUGAAGCUCUUUUUCGGGUGGCUGGCCGGCUGGCUAUUGAUCUUUGGCUUCUAGAAAUCAAGUGCUAAUAUAAUAAUUUUUUUAGGACUAAUCGACCAUCUAGUAGCUGGGUCAGCCGAGU
This 1106-nucleotide ribosomal RNA is filed under the name Gyalolechia fulgens. RNAcentral describes it as "eukaryotic LSU rRNA". It matches the Rfam family "Eukaryotic large subunit ribosomal RNA", at positions 1 to 966 of the family's 3401-position model. The record is from RNAcentral. Lineage: Eukaryota; Fungi; Ascomycota; Lecanoromycetes; Teloschistales; Teloschistaceae.